RNAcentral lists this ribosomal RNA (507 nucleotides) under uncultured bacterium. RNAcentral describes it as "bacterial SSU rRNA". It matches the Rfam family "Bacterial small subunit ribosomal RNA", at positions 28 to 530 of the family's 1533-position model. The record is from RNAcentral.
GAUGAACGCUAGCGACAGGCCUAACACAUGCAAGUCGAGGGGCAGCACAAAGUAGCAAUACUUGGUGGCGACCGGCGCACGGGUGAGUAACACGUAUGCAACCUACCUGUAAGCGGGGAAUAACCCGGAGAAAUUCGGACUAACACCGCAUAAUACUGAAUUACUGCAUGGUUUUUCAGUUAAAUAUUUAUAGCUUACAGAUGGGCAUGCGUAUGAUUAGAUAGUUGGUAGGGUAACGGCCUACCAAGUCAACGAUCAUUAGGGGUUCUGAGAGGAAGGUCCCCCACACUGGUACUGAGACACGGACCAGACUCCUACGGGAGGCAGCAGUGAGGAAUAUUGGUCAAUGGGCGAGAGCCUGAACCAGCCAAGUCGCGUGAAGGAAGAAGGUUCUAUGGAUUGUAAACUUCUUUUGUAAGGGAAUAAAAAGAGUACGUGUACUCUAUUGUAUGUACUUUACGAAUAAGGAUCGGCUAACUCCGUGCCAGCAGCCGCGGUAAAACGUAG